Molecule: ribosomal RNA, 237 nt
Filed under: uncultured bacterium
Lineage: Bacteria
Description: partial 16S ribosomal RNA
Rfam family: Bacterial small subunit ribosomal RNA
Source: RNAcentral
CCGGCACGGGUGAGUAACACGUAUCCAACCUGCCGUCUACUCUUGGACAGCCUUCUGAAAGGAAGAUUAAUACAAGAUGGCAUCAUGAGUCCGCAUGUUCACAUGAUUAAAGGUAUUCCGGUAGACGAUGGGGAUGCGUUCCAUUAGGCAGUUGGCGGGGUAACGGCCCACCAAACCGACGAUGGAUAGGGGUUCUGAGAGGAAGGUCCCCCACAUUGGUACUGAGACACGGACCAA